This 591-nucleotide ribosomal RNA is filed under the name uncultured Enterobacterales bacterium. RNAcentral describes it as "bacterial SSU rRNA". It matches the Rfam family "Bacterial small subunit ribosomal RNA", at positions 24 to 606 of the family's 1533-position model. Lineage: Bacteria; Pseudomonadati; Pseudomonadota; Gammaproteobacteria; Enterobacterales. The record is from RNAcentral.
UCAGAUUGAACGCUGGCGGCAGGCCUAACACAUGCAAGUCGAACGGUAGCACAGAGAGCUUGCUCUCGGGUGACGAGUGGCGGACGGGUGAGUAAUGUCUGGGAAACUGCCUGAUGGAGGGGGAUAACUACUGGAAACGGUAGCUAAUACCGCAUAACGUCGCAAGACCAAAGAGGGGGACCUUCGGGCCUCUUGCCAUCAGAUGUGCCCAGAUGGGAUUAGCUAGUAUGUGGGGUAACGGCUCACCUAGGCGACGAUCCCCAGCUGGUCUGAGAGGAUGACCAGCCACACUGGAACUGAGACACGGUCCAGACUCCUACGGGAGGCAGCAGUGGGGAAUAUUGCACAAUGGGCGCAAGCCUGAUGCAGCCAUGCCGCGUGUGUGAAGAAGGCCUUCGGGUUGUAAAGCACUUUCAGCGAGGAGGAAGGUGGUGAGCUUAAUACGCUCAUCAAUUGACGUUACUCGCAGAAGAAGCACCGGCUAACUCCGUGCCAGCAGCCGCGGUAAUACGGAGGGUGCAAGCGUUAAUCGGAAUUACUGGGCGUAAAGCGCACGCAGGCGGUUUGUUAAGUCAGAUGUGAAAUCCCCGG